GAUGAACGCUGGCGGCGUGCCUAAUACAUGCAAGUCGAACGAACGGACGAGAAGCUUCUUCCUCUGAUGUUUGCGGCGGACGGGUGAGUCACACAUGGAUAACCUAUCUAUACGACUGGUGUAACUUCGGGAAACCGGAUCUUAUACCGUAUGAUAUUUUGUACCGUAUGGUUCAAUAAUGAAAUACAGUUUUGCUGUUACUUGUAGAUGCAUCCGCGUUGUAUUAGCUUGUUGGUAGGGUAACGGCUUACCAAGGCAACGAUUCAUAGCCGACCUGAGAGGGUGAUCGGCCACACUGGAACUGGACCACGGUCCAGACUCCUACGGGAGGCGGAAGUAGGGAAUCUUCCGCAAUGAGCGAAAGCCUGACGGAGCAAGGCGGGGUGAGUGAUGAAGGUCUUCGAUUCGUAAAACUCUGUUAUUAGGGAGGACCAUAUGUAUAAGUAACUGUGCACAUCGUGACGGUACCUUAUCAGAAAGCCACGGCUAACUACGUG
Molecule: ribosomal RNA, 497 nt
Filed under: uncultured bacterium
Lineage: Bacteria
Description: partial 16S ribosomal RNA
Rfam family: Bacterial small subunit ribosomal RNA
Source: RNAcentral